AACGCUAGCUACAGGCUUAACACAUGCAAGUCGAGGGGCAGCAUGGUCUUAGCUUGCUAAGACUGAUGGCGACCGGCGCACGGGUGAGUAACACGUAUCCAACCUGCCGAUAACUCCGGAAUAGCCUUUCGAAAGAAAGAUUAAUACCGGAUAGCAUACGAAUAUCGCAUGAUAUUUUUAUUAAAGAAUUUCGGUUAUCGAUGGGGAUGCGUUCCAUUAGUUUGUUGGCGGGGUAACGGCCCACCAAGACUACGAUGGAUAGGGGUUCUGAGAGGAAGGUCCCCCACAUUGGAACUGAGACACGGUCCAAACUCCUACGGGAGGCAGCAGUGAGGAAUAUUGGUCAAUGGGCGAGAGCCUGAAUCAGCCAAGUAGCGUGAAGGAUGAAGGCUCUAUGGGUCGUAAACUUCUUUUAUAUGGGAAUAAAGUUUUCCACGUGUGGAAUUUUGUAUGUACCAUAUGAAUAAGGAUCGGCUAACUCCGUGCCAGCAGCCGCGGUAAUACGGAGGAUCCGAGCGUUAUCCGGAUUUAUUGGGUUUAAAGGGAGCGUAGGUGGAUUGUUAAGUCAGUUGUGAAAGUUUGCGGCUCAACCGUAAAAUUGCAGUUGAAACUGGCAGUCUUGAGUACAGUAGAGGUGGGCGGAAUUCGUGGUGUAGCGGUGAAAUGCUUAGAUAUCACGAAGAACUCCGAUUGCGAAGGCAGCUCACUAGACUGUCACUGACACUGAUGCUCGAAAGUGUGGGUAUCAAACAGGAUUAGAUACCCUGGUAGUCCACACAGUAAACGAUGAAUACUCGCUGUUUGCGAUAUACAGUAAGCGGCCAAGCGAAAGCAUUAAGUAUUCCACCUGGGGAGUACGCCGGCAACGGUGAAACUCAAAGGAAUUGACGGGGGCCCGCACAAGCGGAGGAACAUGUGGUUUAAUUCGAUGAUACGCGAGGAACCUUACCCGGGCUUAAAUUGCAACAGAAUAUAUUGGAAACAGUAUAGCCGUAAGGCUGUUGUGAAGGUGCUGCAUGGUUGUCGUCAGCUCGUGCCGUGAGGUGUCGGCUUAAGUGCCAUAACGAGCGCAACCCUUAUCUUUAGUUACUAACAGGUCAUGCUGAGGACUCUAGAGAGACUGCCGUCGUAAGAUGUGAGGAAGGUGGGGAUGACGUCAAAUCAGCACGGCCCUUACGUCCGGGGCUACACACGUGUUACAAUGGGGGGUACAGAAGGCGGCUACCUGGUGACAGGAUGCUAAUCCCAAAAACCUCUCUCAGUUCGGAUCGAAGUCUGCAACCCGACUUCGUGAAGCUGGAUUCGCUAGUAAUCGCGCAUCAGCCAUGGCGCGGUGAAUACGUUCCCGGGCCUUGUACACACCGCCCGUCAAGCCAUGAAAGCCGGGGGUACCUGAAGUACGUAACCGCAAGGAGCGUUCUAGGGUAAAACUGGUAAUUGG
Molecule: ribosomal RNA, 1441 nt
Filed under: uncultured organism
Description: SSU rRNA
Rfam family: Bacterial small subunit ribosomal RNA
Source: RNAcentral